RNAcentral lists this long non-coding RNA (1595 nucleotides) under Micromonas commoda. RNAcentral describes it as "long non-coding RNA (MCOM_LNC000116)". The record is from RNAcentral. Lineage: Eukaryota; Viridiplantae; Chlorophyta; Mamiellophyceae; Mamiellales; Mamiellaceae.
AAGUCGAUGCAAACCGCCGCGGAGAAUGAGCGCAGGCGCAGGCUCGAGGAGGACGAACGCCGCACCGUCGCCGCGCAGGCGCUUCAGAACGCCCUCGACGAGGAGAAGGCGAAGCGCGCGCAGGAGGACCUUCGCAGGCAGCAGGCUCGCGCCGCCGCCGAAGCCGCCGCCGCCAUCGAGGAGGCGACGGUUUCCGCGGAGAAUGACAGACGAGCCAACGCGCGAGAGGCUGCGGUCCGCGCCGCCGAGGAAGAGCGCUCGCGGCGAGACGACGAGGAGGCCCGCAGGCGCGAAGCCGCGGACGCCUACCAGUCCCUCCUGGAGUCUCUCCGGGGCCUCGACGGCGAGUUUGAGCCCCGCCGGCUCGCCGCGGCGAAGGCUGCGCAGGCGGCGUUGGACCUCGAGAAGGACGCGCUCGCCUCGGCCAAACGCGCCCUCGAGGACGCCGUGGCCGAGGACAAGGCUCUCGCGGAGCAGGAGGCCAAGGACCGCGCCGCCGAGGACACGAAGAUCGCCGCCGCCAAGCUCGCGCUCGAGGAGAUGAUGCGAUCGGAGGCGCAGCGCAGGUCCGAGGAGGACCAGCGCCGCCGCGCCGCGCAGGCUGAGCUCGAGCGGCUCGUGCUCGUGGACCGCAGCUUGGGCGAGACGGAGGAGCGCCGCCGCGCCGCGUUCGACCUCGAGAUCGAACGCCUCUCCAAGCUCGCCGAGGACGAGGCUCGACGGCAGGAGGCGUCGGUGCGAGCAGCCGAGGAGGCGCGCCGCCGCGACGCCGAGGCGGCUAUUCGCGCCAAGGACGAGGACGAGCGAAGGGUCCAAAAGGAGGAGGAUGCCAGGCGCGUCGCCGCGGACGCCGCGAUCGAGGCUGCCGAGCGCGACCUCGCGCAGCAGAUCGCGCAGGAGGACAACCGCAGGGUCCAGUGGGAGGUGUCCAUGUCCGAGCGGGCGCGAGCCGAGGCUGAGAGGGUGGCUCGAGAGGAGCGCCGCGUCGCCGAGGCGGAGGAUGCCAUGCGUCGGAUGGUGCUCGAGGAGGAGAACAAGCGGAGGGAGGAGGAGUACCGCCGCGAACAGCUCGAGUCGCGGCUUCGCGCGAUCCAGGACGACGACGAGCGCCAACGCGCGGCGGAGGAGGCGCGACGCGCGGGCGCCGAGCUCCAGAUGCGACAGAUGGUCACCGAGGAGACCAACAUCACCGCGGCGGAGGAUGCGCGCAGGGCGCAAAUCGCCGCGGAGGUUGAGCUCGCGAACAAGAAGGAGGAGGCCAUCGUCGCCGCGGAGGAGGCGCGCAGGGCCGACGCCGACGCCGCCAUCGCCCGCGCCCGCGCCGCUCUCGACGCCCUCAUCGCCGAGAUUGACGCGAGGAGGAAGUCGUACGAGGCGGCCAUCUCCACGGCGGCGGCGGCGGAGGCGGCGAAACGCGCGGACGAGGACUCCCGCCGACGCGACGAGGAGGAGGACCGCCGGCGCAGGUCCGAGGCGGAGGUCAACAUGCGAGUCUCGGAGGACACCCGACGGGCUUCCGAGGAGAACCGCAGGUUCAAGGCUGAGACGGCGGCGAAGCGAGCGAGGGAUUUCGAGGAGAAGCGCCGAGCCGCCGA